GUGUCAGCAGCCGCGGUAAUACGGAGGGUGCGAGCGUUGUCCGGAAUCAUUGGGCGUAAAGGGCGCGUAGGUGGCCCAGUUAGCGUGCGGUGAAAGCUCGGGGCUCAACCCCGAGUCGGCCGUGCGAACUGCUGGGCUCGAGCACUGUAGAGGCAGGCGGAAUUCCGGGUGUAGCGGUGGAAUGCGUAGAGAUCCGGAAGAACACCGGUGGCGAAGGCGGCCUGCUGGGCAGUAGCUGACACUGAGGCGCGACAGCGUGGGGAGCAAACAGGAUUAGAUACCCUGGUAGUCCACGCCGUAAACGAUGGGCACUAGGCGCUUGGGGGAGCGACCCCCCGAGGGCCGGCGCUAACGCAUUAAGUGCCCCGCCUGGGGAGUACGGCCGCAAGGCUGAA
Molecule: ribosomal RNA, 395 nt
Filed under: uncultured bacterium
Lineage: Bacteria
Description: bacterial SSU rRNA
Rfam family: Bacterial small subunit ribosomal RNA
Source: RNAcentral